This 412-nucleotide ribosomal RNA is filed under the name uncultured bacterium. Its description in RNAcentral is "bacterial SSU rRNA". It matches the Rfam family "Bacterial small subunit ribosomal RNA", at positions 28 to 441 of the family's 1533-position model. The record is from RNAcentral.
GACGAACGCUGGCGGCGUGCUUAACACAUGCAAGUCGAGCGGUAAGGCCCUUUCGGGGGUACACGAGCGGCGAACGGGUGAGUAACACGUGGGUGACCUGCCCUCAGCUCUGGGAUAAGCCUGGGAAACCGGGUCUAAUACCGGAUAUGACUCCAUGACGCAUGUUGUGGGGUGGAAAGCCUUGUGCGGCUGAGGAUGGGCCCGCGGCCUAUCAGCUUGUUGGUGGGGUGAUGGCCUACCAAGGCGACGACGGGUAGCCGGCCUGAGAGGGCGACCGGCCACACUGGGACUGAGACACGGCCCAGACUCCUACGGGAGGCAGCAGUGGGGAAUCUUGCGCAAUGGGCGAAAGCCUGACGCAGCGAUGCCGCGUGUGUGAAGAAGGCCUGCGGGUUGUAAAGCACUUUCAGUA